Molecule: non-coding RNA, 26 nt
Filed under: Homo sapiens (human)
Lineage: Eukaryota; Metazoa; Chordata; Mammalia; Primates; Hominidae
Source: RNAcentral
UUACACAUCAACGGAUACACACGGGA